RNAcentral lists this ribosomal RNA (775 nucleotides) under Halomonas sp. M5M-3. RNAcentral's name for it is "bacterial SSU rRNA". It matches the Rfam family "Bacterial small subunit ribosomal RNA", at positions 62 to 831 of the family's 1533-position model. The record is from RNAcentral. Lineage: Bacteria; Pseudomonadati; Pseudomonadota; Gammaproteobacteria; Oceanospirillales; Halomonadaceae.
UCGAGCGGAACGAAGGAGCUUGCUCCAGGCGUCGAGCGGCGGACGGGUGAGUAAUGCAUAGGAAUCUGCCCGAUAGUGGGGGAUAACCUGGGGAAACCCAGGCUAAUACCGCAUACGUCCUACGGGAGAAAGCAGGGGAUCUUCGGACCUUGCGCUAUCGGAUGAGCCUAUGUCGGAUUAGCUUGUUGGUGAGGUAAUGGCUCACCAAGGCGACGAUCCGUAGCUGGUCUGAGAGGAUGAUCAGCCACAUCGGGACUGAGACACGGCCCGAACUCCUACGGGAGGCAGCAGUGGGGAAUAUUGGACAAUGGGCGAAAGCCUGAUCCAGCCAUGCCGCGUGUGUGAAGAAGGCUUUCGGGUUGUAAAGCACUUUCAGUGAGGAAGAACGCCUCGGGGCCAAUACCCCCGAGGAAGGACAUCACUCACAGAAGAAGCACCGGCUAACUCCGUGCCAGCAGCCGCGGUAAUACGGAGGGUGCAAGCGUUAAUCGGAAUUACUGGGCGUAAAGCGCGCGUAGGUGGCUUGAUAAGCCGGUUGUGAAAGCCCCGGGCUCAACCUGGGAACGGCAUCCGGAACUGUCAGGCUAGAGUGCAGGAGAGGAAGGUAGAAUUCCCGGUGUAGCGGUGAAAUGCGUAGAGAUCGGGAGGAAUACCAGUGGCGAAGGCGGCCUUCUGGACUGACACUGACACUGAGGUGCGAAAGCGUGGGUAGCAAACAGGAUUAGAUACCCUGGUAGUCCACGCCGUAAACGAUGUCGACUAGCCGUUGGGGUCC